GACGUAGGGCGCGAGCGUUGUCCGGAUUUAUUGGGCGUAAAGAGCUCGUAGGCGGCUUGUCGCGUCGUUCGUGAAAACCCACAGCUCAACUGUGGGCUUGCGGUCGAUACGGGCAGGCUGGAGUUCGGUAGGGGAGACUGGAAUUCCUGGUGUAGCGGUGAAAUGCGCAGAUAUCAGGAGGAACACCGGUGGCGAAGGCGGGUCUCUGGGCCGAUAUUGACGCUGAGGAGCGAAAGCGUGGGGAGCGAACAGG
RNAcentral lists this ribosomal RNA (253 nucleotides) under uncultured bacterium. Its description in RNAcentral is "partial 16S ribosomal RNA". It matches the Rfam family "Bacterial small subunit ribosomal RNA", at positions 524 to 776 of the family's 1533-position model. The record is from RNAcentral.